Molecule: ribosomal RNA, 825 nt
Filed under: Nocardia donostiensis
Lineage: Bacteria; Bacillati; Actinomycetota; Actinomycetes; Mycobacteriales; Nocardiaceae
Description: bacterial LSU rRNA
Rfam family: Bacterial large subunit ribosomal RNA
Source: RNAcentral
ACAGUGGACGCGAGCAUCUUUGUUAGUAAGUGUUGAAGAGCGUACGGUGGAUGCCUUGGCACCAGGAGCCGAUGAAGGACGUAGGAGGCUGCGAUAAGCCUCGGGGAGCUGUCAACCGAGCUGAGAUCCGAGGAUGUCCGAAUGGGGAAACCCAGCACGAGUGAUGUCGUGUUACCCGCAUCUGAAUGUAUAGGGUGUGUGGAGGGAACGCGGGGAAGUGAAACAUCUCAGUACCCGCAGGAAGAGAAAACAAUUGUGAUUCCGUGAGUAGUGGCGAGCGAAAACGGAGGAGGCUAAACCGUGUAGAUGUGAGAGCCGGCAGGCGUUGUCUAUGCGGGGUUGUGGGGUUGCUCUUCUCAGUUCUGCCGAGCUGGGCGUGAGUCAGAAACCGUUGUGUUAGCUGAAGUGGUCUGGGACGGCCUACCGUAGAGGGUGAGAGUCCUGUAGGUGAAAACAUGACGGCUCAUGUGAGUGAUACCCGAGUAGCAGCGGGCCCGUGAAAUCUGCUGUGAAUCUGCCGGGACCACCCGGUAAGCCUGAAUACUCCCUGGUGACCGAUAGCGGACUAGUACCGUGAGGGAAAGGUGAAAAGUACCCCGGGAGGGGAGUGAAAUAGUACCUGAAACCGUGCGCUUACAAUCCGUCAGAGCCUGCGCAGUCCUUGUGGCUGGUGGGUGAUGGCGUGCCUUUUGAAGAAUGAGCCUGCGAGUUAGUGGCAUGUGGCGAGGUUAACCCGUGUGGGGUAGCCGUAGCGAAAGCGAGUCCGAAUAGGGCGGUCCAGUCGCAUGUUCUAGACCCGAAGCGGAGUGAUCUACCCAUGGCCAG